UUGGCAAUUGAAUUGCAUGCAUUUUUGCAUGUAAUUAGGCUAUAAAUAGAGAUGUUUUCAAAUGUUGAAGGACUUUUGCCUCUUUUAUCAUUUUCAUAAUCUCAACAAAAGAAAAAUGAAAGCUUCCAAUCUCAUUUUAUCUCCAUUACUUUCUACACCAAAAUUGGGUCCCACAACCCGGUUCUUUGUCUAGAGGAUAGCAGUUGAGUACUAGUGGUGGUCUCGGGUAGAAUUGGUAAGAAGACAUCAAACCUUUUGAAAGCUUCAAAGGUAAUACUUCUUAAAACCCUAAUUUGAUUAGUUUAUGGUUACAUGUUAAUUGUGGCAAUUAGGGUAGAAAUUCGAUUCUUUUCCGCUGUGCAUGACUUAGUUCUAUCAGGCUCUUGGUUUUUUUAUGGGAUUUUUCUAAUGUAUAUUGCAUGUGUUGUUUGUUUUUUUAUAGCUCUUGAUUGUCUAACCUUUUGACGUUUUGCAUUUGCAACUCUCUCUUUUGUUUCUUUGGUAUGCAAUGUGGUAACAAGGUCUUGCUAGAAUCGGUGGGCUAACCUUUCUAUGGUUCUAAACUUAGUUUCUAAGUUUGACUGCUCCCUUCGGAGUGACAACAAGCCUCGUUUUCCCCCUACUAUGGAACGGGGAGGAUUCCUCCUCUUUUCAAAGCCCUUGUCAAACUCAAUGCUAAGUUUGACUGCUCCCUUCGGAGUGACAACAAGCCUUGUUUUCCCCCUAAUGUGGAUCGGGGAGGAUUCCUCCUCUUUCAAAGCCUCAUCAAACUCGAUGCUAAGUUUAGAACGCUAAGAGUAGGUGGUUUGGUUUUGGUUAGGCCAAAAGUAAAGUUUUCUGCUAAAAGCUCUGGUAGUUAGGGAACUCAACACAUUCUACCUGACCGAAACAAGUUGGCUCUUUGUCUUUUUAUGGAUUUUCUAAUGUAUAUUGCAUGUGUUGUUUGUUUUUUUAUAUAGCUCUUGAUUGUCUAACCUUUUACAUUUUGCAUUUGCAAGUCUCUCUUUGUUUCUUUGGUAUGCAAUGUGGUAACAAGGUCUUGCUAGAACCGGUGGCUAACCUUUCUAUGGUUCUAAACUUAGUUUCUAAGUUUGACUGCUCCCUUCGGAGUGACAACAAGCCUCGUUUUCCCCCUACUAUGGAACGGGGAGGAUUCCUCCUCUUUUCAAAGCCCUCGUCAAACUCAAUGCUAAGUUUGACUGCUCCCUUCGGAGUGACAACAAGCCUUGUUUUCCCCCUAAUGUGGAUCGGGGAGGAUUCCUCCUCUUUUCAAAGCCCUCAUCAAACUCGAUGCUAAGUUUAGAACGCUAAGAGUAGGUGGUUUGGUUUUGGUUAGGCCAAAAGUAAAGUUUUCUGCUAAAAGCUCUGAUAGUUAGGGAACUCAACACAUUCUACUUGACCGAACCAAGUUGGCUCUUUGUUUUUUUAUGGGAUUUUUCUAAUGUAUAUUGCAUGUGUUGUUUGUUUUUUUAUAGCUCUUGAUUGUCUAACCUUUUUACGUUUUGCAUUUGCAAGUCUCUCUUUUGUUUCUUUGGUAUGCAAUGUGGUAACAAGGUCUUGCUAGAACCGGUGGCUAACCUUUCUAUGGUUCUAAACUUAGUUUCUAAGUUUGACUGCUCCCUUCGGAGUGACAACAAGCCUCGUUUUCCCCCUACUAUGGAACGGGGAGGAUUCCUCCUCUUUUCAAAGCCCUCGUCAAACUCAAUGCUAAGUUUGACUGCUCCCUUCGAAGUGACAACAAGCCUUGUUUUCCCCCUAAUGUGGAUCGGGGAGGAUUCCUCCUCUUUUCAAAGCCCUCAUCAAACUCGAUGCUAUGUUUAGAACGCUAAGAGUAGGUAGUCUGGUUUUGGUUAGGCCAAAAGUGAAGUUUUCCCCCAUUUUUUAUGGGCUUUUUCUAAUGUGUAUGUUUGAUUUUUUUUAUAGCUCUUGAUUGUCUUACUGUUUUAUGUUUUGCAUUGUCAAGUCUCUCUUUUCUUUCUUUGGUAUGCAAUGUGGUAACUAGGCCUUGCUAGAACGGUGGGCUAACCUUUCUAUGGUUCUACAUUUAGUUACUAAUUAAGUUUGAUUGCUCCCUUCGAAGUGACAAUAAGUUUUGUUAAUGUCGACCCUUUUCUAAAGGGAUUUAGUUCAUUGUGGCUAGACAAGAGGCUUCUAACUCAUGUUUGACAAGACAAAUUUGUUAAAACCAUCCCAGUUUCUAAAGAGUGCCUCCUAUCCUUUUUUACUCUAUCUAGGCUAGGUUUGGACUAAGUGCAUCAUAGGUAAGUCACGACAAAGCAACAAAGGAAGACAAAGCUAGAAAAGUAUCCAUGCACUUAUUUAUUAUACAUGCAAUCAAGCAUUCACAACACACAUACCAUUUUCUCAAUCAUGCAUUCACAUCUCAAUAAGAAAUAGCUAAAAGGAGCUUAAAACAAAAAAGACAGCAGCUUAUGCUCAAAUUUCAGCACAUAUACUCAUCAAAAUUCAGAAUUUCACAUCAUAAACCCGAGCUCAGUGCUCAAGGGUUGCCAAUCAUGCUUUUUAUGCAAGAUCUAAUUAAGCUAUGCUCAUUAUUGUAUGGAAAGAAUUCUGAAAAAUUUUGAAAUUUGGGCAAAAUUUGAACCCCCAAGUUUACACUAAACAUGCAAGCUAAGCAAGCUAUUACCACACACCACUCAAAAAAUUGCUUUUUCUGUCCUAAAAGCUUUUGAAAAUCAAAGUAAAUGGAGAAAAAUAAGGGGGGAACUUUGGACUCCCCUGGAAGGAUCGACAUCCUUGACUUUGUUUGAAGCUUGCAUGGAUAAACCUUUUCAUUCCUUUUUCAUUGAUUAUUCAUCCUUGUUCCUGAAAAUCAAAGGAAAUUCUCUCAAUUUUAUAUAUUACUAAAAUUAGGAUACAUAUAAGUCUUAACUAGUCUAAUAGCACCCUCCAUUCAUCUUCCCCUACACUGGCUAUGGUAUCAAAAUUUUCAAUUAAGUAAUACGUCUACUAACGAACUUGAAAACAAAACACAUCACACUAAAAAACACAAACAUCACUUUAACCCAACAGAAGCAACUCUUUUUACCCUUGCACUCACUAUCACAUUACUAUCAUGUUUGUCAACUGUCAAACUAACUCUUUUAAGUUAUUUAGUGUGACUACAAAGUUAUGAACACCAUAAUCUUAAUUAAAACCUUUUAAUAAAUAAAUGCGAAGUUACUACUCAAGAAUGGCAAGGAAUUCAAAAAACAUGACAGCUAUCCUAAUUGGUUGAAAAUGAGAAAAAGAAAGUUAGCCAGACAACCUGUUUGGACUACAAAGCCAGCAGAUAUGAUUCCUCAAAUUUGACCAUUCACUCUCCAUACUCUACAAGUCUUCAAGCACAUGAUGCUGCCUACUUUCAGAUGAGCAACAUCAUUCCGAUCUUAACAGUCAGAAGAGCAAAUCAAAUCAAUCCUAGCAUAUUCACAAAUCACAACUAAAAAGUACAAACAUUACAAAAUAAAACAUGCAGCGAUAUCAACAAGCAUUCUGAUAAAUAAUUAGCCAAUUAAUUGACAUUACAAAAUAAAUAAAGAAAAACAAGCAUUCUGAUAUUUUUCUAUUUGUGCGGGCAGCCGAUGUUCACAAAACAGCGUUUCGAACCCACGAGGGGCCCUAUGAAUUCCUUGUGAUGCUGUUUGGGUUGAAACGCUCCGCAACAUUCCAAUCAAUCAUGAGUGAUGUUCUUCGCCCAUAUUUACGCAAGUUUGUUUUGGUUUUCUUUGAUGACAUCUUAAUUUACAGCAAGUCCUUGGACGAGCAUUUGCACCAAUUGGCAAUGGUUUUGGAAACUCUAGUAGCUCAUCAACUGGUAGCCAACUUUAAAAAAUGCCAAUUUGCGGUUGACAAAAUUGAAUACUUGGGCCAUGUUAUU
This 3880-nucleotide long non-coding RNA is filed under the name Cucumis sativus (cucumber). RNAcentral's name for it is "long non-coding RNA (CSAT_LNC002705)". The record is from RNAcentral. Lineage: Eukaryota; Viridiplantae; Streptophyta; Magnoliopsida; Cucurbitales; Cucurbitaceae.